This 2920-nucleotide ribosomal RNA is filed under the name Staphylococcus haemolyticus. RNAcentral's name for it is "bacterial LSU rRNA". It matches the Rfam family "Bacterial large subunit ribosomal RNA". The record is from RNAcentral. Lineage: Bacteria; Bacillati; Bacillota; Bacilli; Caryophanales; Staphylococcaceae.
UUAAGUUAUUAAGGGCGCACGGUGGAUGCCUUGGCACUAGAAGCCGACGAAGGACGUUACUAACGACGAUAUGCUUUGGGUAGCUGUAAGUAAGCGUUGAUCCAGAGAUUUCCGAAUGGGGGAACCCAGCACGAGUUAUGUCGUGUUAUCGACAAGUGAAUUCAUAGCUUGUCAGAAGGCAGACCCGGAGAACUGAAACAUCUUAGUACCCGGAGGAAGAGAAAGAAAAAUCGAUUCCCUGAGUAGCGGCGAGCGAAACGGGAAGAGCCCAAACCAAUAAGCUUGCUUAUUGGGGUUGUAGGACACUCUAUACGGAGUUACAAAGGAAUAUAUUAGACGAAUCAUCUGGAAAGUUGAAUCAAAGAAGGUAAUAAUCCUGUAGUUGAAAAUAUAUUCUCUCUUGAGUGGAUCCUGAGUACGACGGAGCACGUGAAAUUCCGUCGGAAUCUGGGAGGACCAUCUCCUAAGGCUAAAUACUCUCUAGUGACCGAUAGUGAACCAGUACCGUGAGGGAAAGGUGAAAAGUACCCCGGAAGGGGAGUGAAAGAGAACUUGAAACCGUGUGCUUACAAGUAGUCAGAGCCCGUUAAUGGGUGAUGGCGUGCCUUUUGUAGAAUGAACCGGCGAGUUACGAUCUGAUGCAAGGUUAAGCAGGAAAUGUGGAGCCGUAGCGAAAGCGAGUCUGAAUAGGGCGUUGAGUAUUUGGUCGUAGACCCGAAACCAGGUGAUCUACCCAUGGUCAGGUUGAAGUUCAGGUAACACUGAAUGGAGGACCGAACCGACUUACGUUGAAAAGUGAGCGGAUGAACUGUGGGUAGCGGAGAAAUUCCAAUCGAACUUGGAGAUAGCUGGUUCUCUCCGAAAUAGCUUUAGGGCUAGCCUCAAGUGAUGAUUAUUGGAGGUAGAGCACUGUUUGGACGAGGGGCCCCUCUCGGGUUACCGAAUUCAGACAAACUCCGAAUGCCAAUUAAUUUAACUUGGGAGUCAGAACAUGGGUGAUAAGGUCCGUGUUCGAAAGGGAAACAGCCCAGACCACCAGCUAAGGUCCCAAAAUAUAUGUUAAGUGGAAAAGGAUGUGGCGUUGCCCAGACAACUAGGAUGUUGGCUUAGAAGCAGCCAUCAUUUAAAGAGUGCGUAAUAGCUCACUAGUCGAGUGACACUGCGCCGAAAAUGUACCGGGGCUAAACAUAUUACCGAAGCUGUGGAUUGUCCGUAGGACAAUGGUAGGAGAGCGUUCUAAGGGCGUUGAAGCAUGAUCGCAAGGACAUGUGGAGCGCUUAGAAGUGAGAAUGCCGGUGUGAGUAGCGAAAGACGGGUGAGAAUCCCGUCCACCGAUUGACUAAGGUUUCCAGAGGAAGGCUCGUCCGCUCUGGGUUAGUCGGGUCCUAAGCUGAGGCCGACAGGCGUAGGCGAUGGAUAACAGGUUGAUAUUCCUGUACCACCUAGCAUCGUUUUAAUCGAUGGGGGGACGCAGUAGGAUAGGCGAAGCGUACGAUUGGAUUGUACGUCCAAGCAGUGAGAUUGAGUGUUAGGCAAAUCCGGCACUCUUAAGAUUGAGCUGUGAUGGGGAGAGGAAAUUGUUUCCUCGAGUCGUUGAUUUCACACUGCCGAGAAAAGCCUCUAGAUAGAUAAUAGGUGCCCGUACCGCAAACCGACACAGGUAGUCAAGAUGAGAAUUCUAAGGUGAGCGAGCGAACUCUCGUUAAGGAACUCGGCAAAAUGACCCCGUAACUUCGGGAGAAGGGGUGCUCUUUAGGGUGCAAGCCCAGAAGAGCCGCAGUGAAUAGGCCCAAGCGACUGUUUAUCAAAAACACAGGUCUCUGCUAAACCGUAAGGUGAUGUAUAGGGGCUGACGCCUGCCCGGUGCUGGAAGGUUAAGAGGAGUAGUUAGCUUCUGCGAAGCUACGAAUCGAAGCCCCAGUAAACGGCGGCCGUAACUAUAACGGUCCUAAGGUAGCGAAAUUCCUUGUCGGGUAAGUUCCGACCCGCACGAAAGGCGUAACGAUUUGGGCACUGUCUCAACGAGAGACUCGGUGAAAUCAUAGUACCUGUGAAGAUGCAGGUUACCCGCGACAGGACGGAAAGACCCCGUGGAGCUUUACUGUAGCCUGAUAUUGAAAUUCGGCACAGCUUGUACAGGAUAGGUAGGAGCCUUUGAAACGUGAGCGCUAGCUUACGUGGAGGCGCUGGUGGGAUACUACCCUAGCUGUGUUGGCUUUCUAACCCGCACCACUUAUCGUGGUGGGAGACAGUGUCAGGCGGGCAGUUUGACUGGGGCGGUCGCCUCCUAAAAGGUAACGGAGGCGCUCAAAGGUUCCCUCAGAAUGGUUGGAAAUCAUUCAUAGAGUGUAAAGGCAUAAGGGAGCUUGACUGCGAGACCUACAAGUCGAGCAGGGUCGAAAGACGGACUUAGUGAUCCGGUGGUUCCGCAUGGAAGGGCCAUCGCUCAACGGAUAAAAGCUACCCCGGGGAUAACAGGCUUAUCUCCCCCAAGAGUUCACAUCGACGGGGAGGUUUGGCACCUCGAUGUCGGCUCAUCGCAUCCUGGGGCUGUAGUCGGUCCCAAGGGUUGGGCUGUUCGCCCAUUAAAGCGGUACGCGAGCUGGGUUCAGAACGUCGUGAGACAGUUCGGUCCCUAUCCGUCGUGGGCGUAGGAAAUUUGAGAGGAGCUGUCCUUAGUACGAGAGGACCGGGAUGGACAUACCUCUGGUGUACCAGUUGUCGUGCCAACGGCAUAGCUGGGUAGCUAUGUAUGGACGGGAUAAGUGCUGAAAGCAUCUAAGCAUGAAGCCCCCCUCAAGAUGAGAUUUCCCAACUUCGGUUAUAAGAUCCCUCAAAGAUGAUGAGGUUAAUAGGUUCGAGGUGGAAGCGUGGUGACACGUGGAGCUGACGAAUACUAAUCGAUCGAAGACUUAAUCAA